GAUGAACGCUGGCGGCGUGCUUAACACAUGCAAGUCGAACGCACCUUCGGGUGAGUGGCGGACGGGUGAGUAACGCGUGAGAAUCUGCCCUCAGGAGGGGGAUAACGGCUGGAAACAGCCGCUAAUACCCCAUAUGCCGAGAGGUGAAACGAGUUUUCGCCUGAGGAUGAGCUCGCGUCUGAUUAGCUAGUUGGUGGGGUAAGAGCCUACCAAGGCAUCGAUCAGUAGCUGGUCUGAGAGGAUGAUCAGCCACACUGGGACUGAGACACGGCCCAGACUCCUACGGGAGGCAGCAGUGGGGAAUUUUCCGCAAUGGGCGCAAGCCUGACGGAGCAACGCCGCGUGAGGGAUGAAGGCCUCUGGGCUGUAAACCUCUUUUCUCAAGGAAGAAGAUCUGACGGUACUUGAGGAAUAAGCCACGGCUAAUUCCGUGCCAGCAGCCGCGGUAAUACGGGAGUGGCAAGCGUUAUCCGGAAUUAUUGGGCGUAAAGCGUCCGCNGGCGGUCUUGAAAGUCUGUUGUCAAAGCGU
RNAcentral lists this ribosomal RNA (529 nucleotides) under uncultured cyanobacterium. RNAcentral's name for it is "bacterial SSU rRNA". It matches the Rfam family "Bacterial small subunit ribosomal RNA", at positions 28 to 603 of the family's 1533-position model. The record is from RNAcentral. Lineage: Bacteria; Bacillati; Cyanobacteriota.